CAAUAGCGUAUAUUAAAGUUGUUGCAGUUAAAAGCUCGUAGUUGGAUUGGUGUUGGUUAUGUUUCUCUGGGAAAUUCUCAGAGCGACGUUAACCAAUAUAUUUGGGAUUUGGUCUAGAAUGGUAUUAAGUUGUUGAUUUAGUUCCAGCCCAUCGUUUACUGUGAAAAAUUAGAGUGUUUAAAGCAGGUUUUAUAACCGUUGAAUACAUUAGCAUGGAAUAAUAAUAUAUGACUCGUAUGGUCUAUUUUGUUGGUUUGCACGUAUGAGUAAUGAUUAAUAGGGACAGUUGGGGGUAUGCAUAUUUGAGCGUCAGAGGUGAAAUUCUUGGAUCGCUGAAAGAUGAGCUAAGGCGAAAGCAUUUACCAAGGAUGUUUUCAUUAAUCGAGAACGAAAGUUAGGGGAUCGAAGAUGAUCAGAUACCAU
This 423-nucleotide ribosomal RNA is filed under the name uncultured eukaryote. RNAcentral describes it as "bacterial SSU rRNA". It matches the Rfam family "Eukaryotic small subunit ribosomal RNA", at positions 592 to 1018 of the family's 1831-position model. The record is from RNAcentral.